RNAcentral lists this long non-coding RNA (460 nucleotides) under Elaeis guineensis (African oil palm). Its description in RNAcentral is "long non-coding RNA (EGUI_LNC079743)". Lineage: Eukaryota; Viridiplantae; Streptophyta; Magnoliopsida; Arecales; Arecaceae. The record is from RNAcentral.
UUCGGAUCGGACUUCGAGCUUGGCUUGAAACCAUUCAGACUGGACUCGAAUCAACAAAUAGGGCCCGUUUUGCAUUUGGACCGAACUUGGGCGGACCUUUGGCUCGGCUUGGGUUUGAGCCCGAAACUCAUCCCAAAGUUUAGCCUGGUUCCCAUGAUUUGCCCUGUCGAGCUCGGGCCCAAGCCUGAAACUCAGUCCAAAGUUCAGCCUGGCCCCACGAUUUGCCCUGUCCGCUGUCCGCCCGAUCAAGAGUCUGUUCUUUUUUGAGAAGCUUCUCCAGUUCUCCCUCCGAGCCAUCUUCUCCUCCUUCGCAGCCUUCUGUGCGGCGGAUUGAUGGUGGCAGCUUCCAAGCAAAGGCUCUCCUGCUCCUCUCCCUCUCCGCUAUGGUGCCUGAACCCUAUGUCUUGCUCAUCUCUAUCCUCACCACCAACAUCAUCGUCCACCCUAUCUAGUACGGCGC